Lycium ferocissimum is the source of this 1411-nucleotide long non-coding RNA. RefSeq lists it as uncharacterized. The transcript is spliced from 3 exons. Lineage: Eukaryota; Viridiplantae; Streptophyta; Magnoliopsida; Solanales; Solanaceae. The record is from RefSeq and is a predicted model, not a curated record.
CUUAAUGUUUAUUACUUUUAUUUCUUUUAAAAAUAAAAAUAAAAAAACAAGAUACAUUUGUAUAUAGGCAUGACUUGCUCAAUGGAAAAAAGAAGAAUGGAUGUGAAUGAAAUCUAUAAAAUAAGGUACAUUUAUUGCACGACUUGACACAUUCAUUAAGUUGGUACCGAUCAGUGCCCUCUUGACUUCCUUAUACAAGCUCAGAGUGGUGAAACUACUUGUGCCUAAAAUCUAAUAUGGAAAAAUCAGCAUUAAUGAAAAAACCUUAACUAAUGAUAUUUUUUAAGAGCUAAAUGUCUUAAUCCUUUGAACAUAGCGAAAAACCUUUUGGAGCUCUAUUUAUGAUCAUAGAUAGGGGAAUUACAUGGAUAAAAGAUUCAUGAGGAGACCGUUCAAGAUUCAUGAAAAAUUAAAGUUGAGGAGUUCCUACAGAAAAUAGGACAUCUCAAUAAGAAAGGGAGGAAUAGACAAGAUCAUAUGGAGGGUGUCGAGAAUAAUUAUUCCAAUGAGAUGAUAGUAUCAUACUACAUGGGCUAUUGGAAUCGAGUAUGGUUCUUUUAGGUUAUACUGAUGGUUGUUUCUCAAUUCCAUCUCUACUACAAAAUCGGACGUGAGAGUUCCUUCUUAUCGAUCUCCUCGCAAAUAUUCAAAAAGUUUUAAUUUGAAUUAAGAUAUAAUAGUAAAUCCUAAAAAAAGUACUUAUUAAGUAAUACGUUGAUGUGGGACUCUUUGAGAUUCAUUCAAUCUCCAAUAGCUUUUUUUCCUUGUUAAUAAUGCAGGAUGCUAUGUAAACGGUUGUUAACAUAAGGAGGCAACAAAUCAUUACAAGUUGGUGUUAUAGUGAAGAUGACCUAUUGCUUUGUAGCCUCAUAUCACAAUUAUGAUACAUUUGUAUGGGGAUGGACAAAUUAAGAUUAUCUCCAAACUUGGUUCACUUACCAUGUUUGGUUUAGAAAAGAAAAUUUCCAGCCAUUUUAGGUAAAGAUCAUCAUGUUAUGAAAUUGAACUUUUUAUAAACCUUUGAAAAUAAAAGAGCAUUUAUGACAUUCUUGAUACCAAUCUUGUAAAUGGAUGAUCCUAUCCUAAAUAAAGUGAACAGUUUAAACAAACUAAAUCAUCUUUGUUUGGGCGUAGUUAAGAAACUUUAUGAGCCUGUUUGGAUUGGCUUAUUUAAGGUGCUUUUAAGCCAGUAAAAAAGUGUUUUAAACACUUGUUCUUUAGCCAAAAGUCAUAGAAUUCCCUUAACUUAUAAACCACAAGCCCAUCCAGGCUCUAAGGCACCUUAUUGGACUUGUAUGACUACUUUUCAAUCAGAACCAAAUCAGUACGCAACAUUAAGAUGGCUCUGCUAUUAAGUUGAGAAAAGAGCUUUGGACCUAAUCCAACUCUCUAAUGUGAUUGCUUUGCCAGA